AGGCAGACUCGAAGCAAAAGCCCCAAGAUGGGAAGUUUUUGUUGGUGGGGUGAAGUGAACAUAGGAAGGAAUAGUCUUGCUGAGAUUGGAGGGUCUUGUGAAAUGGUGAUGUCUUUGGAUGAGACUCCGGUUUCUGGGUCUUGGGGUGAUGGGGGCACCAGUGGAGAUUCGGCCAGUCUCUGGAUUGAUCCAUCUUGUAAACACGAAUGUAAGGGAGAAGCUCCCGGUCUAUUUCCUUGCCACUGGAAUCCAUAUGCAGAAGAGGAGAUAAGGAAACUAAGAGAGAACAAAUUU
Molecule: unclassified non-coding RNA, 294 nt
Filed under: Hevea brasiliensis (rubber tree)
Lineage: Eukaryota; Viridiplantae; Streptophyta; Magnoliopsida; Malpighiales; Euphorbiaceae
Source: RNAcentral